Molecule: non-coding RNA, 70 nt
Filed under: Gammaproteobacteria bacterium
Lineage: Bacteria; Pseudomonadati; Pseudomonadota; Gammaproteobacteria
Source: RNAcentral
UAGCGAAACCUCGCCCACCAGGGCGACGGUCUGCCGGGUGUGGUUGCCCGGUACUGAUGAGCAGCCAAGA